Long non-coding RNA from Gossypium arboreum, 337 nucleotides. RefSeq lists it as uncharacterized. NCBI's taxonomy places the organism in Eukaryota, Viridiplantae, Streptophyta, Magnoliopsida, Malvales, Malvaceae. The record is from RefSeq and is a predicted model, not a curated record. The transcript has 2 exons.
AUAUCUAUCUGUGUGGCCAUCUCUUAUCUCUUCUUAGCGGUUACUCUCACCCAUUUCAAAGAACCAACCUUCCCUCUCCCCAAUUCCUUUUCAUUUCAAGAUAAUAUGCCUAGAAGAAGAUUGAGAGAUCUAAAUAUUAUUCAAAUUCCUCCAAAUUCAAAAGAAACAAAUAGUGAUUAACAGACUGCUAUUGGAUCUUCAAAUGUUUCGAAUACAGUUGAUGAACCUGUAGAAAUUCAAAGUAAUAUUAACUUUAAUUUACAUGCAUGUUGACUUUUAUUAUUGAUUUUUGUUUCAAAUUCUUAUAUUAUCAUAUACAAUUUUUUUUAACUGAAAA